This 67-nucleotide transfer RNA is filed under the name Curculionoidea sp. 17 KM-2017. RNAcentral's name for it is "tRNA-Phe". The record is from RNAcentral. Lineage: Eukaryota; Metazoa; Arthropoda; Insecta; Coleoptera.
AUUUAAAUAGCUUAAAUUGUAGAGCAUAGUAGUGAAGUUACUAAGGUAAUAGUAAUAUUUUUAAAUA